This 343-nucleotide unclassified non-coding RNA is filed under the name soil metagenome. RNAcentral describes it as "partial contains 5.8S ribosomal RNA, internal transcribed spacer 2, and large subunit ribosomal RNA". The stretch from base 1 to 120 matches the Rfam family "5.8S ribosomal RNA", at positions 35 to 154 of the family's 154-position model. The record is from RNAcentral.
GAUGAAGAACGUAGCGAAAUGCGAUAAGUAAUGUGAAUUGCAGAAUCCAGUGAAUCAUCGAAUCUUUGAACGCACAUUGCGCCCGCCAGCAUUCUGGCGGGCAUGCCUGUUCGAGCGUCAUUUCAACCCUCGACCUCCCUUUGGGGAAGUCGGCGUUGGGGACCGGCAGCACACCGCCGGCCCUGAAAUGGAGUGGCGGCCCGUCCGCGGCGACCUCUGCGUAGUAAACCAACUCGCACCGGAACCCCGACGUGGCCACGCCGUAAAACACCCAACUUCUGAACGUUGAGCUCGAAUCAGGUAGGACUACCCGCUGAACUUAAGCAUAUCAAUAAGCGGAGGA